CGGAGACUUGAGAGCGGCGUACGGGUGCGGAACACGUGUGCAACCUGCCUUUAUCAGGGGGAUAGCCUUUCGAAAGGAAGAUUAAUACCCCAUAAUAUAUAGAGUGGCAUCACUUUAUAUUGAAAACUGAGGUGGAUAAAGAUGGGCACGCGCAAGAUUAGAUAGUUGGUGAGGUAACGGCUCACCAAGUCGAUGAUCUUUAGGGGGCCUGAGAGGGUGAUCCCCCACACUGGUACUGAGACACGGACCAGACUCCUACGGGAGGCAGCAGUGAGGAAUAUUGGACAAUGGGUUAGCGCCUGAUCCAGCCAUCCCGCGUGAAGGACGACGGCCCUAUGGGUUGUAAACUUCUUUUGUACAGGGAUAAACCUAUUUACGUGUAAAUAGCUGAAGGUACU
RNAcentral lists this ribosomal RNA (398 nucleotides) under uncultured Flavobacteriaceae bacterium. Its description in RNAcentral is "bacterial SSU rRNA". It matches the Rfam family "Bacterial small subunit ribosomal RNA", at positions 82 to 479 of the family's 1533-position model. The record is from RNAcentral. Lineage: Bacteria; Pseudomonadati; Bacteroidota; Flavobacteriia; Flavobacteriales; Flavobacteriaceae.